AUGUGCUCGCCUCAGCAACAUAUAUACUAAAAUCGGAACGAUACAGAGAUUAGCACGACCCCCGUGCAAGGAUGAAAUCACUCAGUAUGUGAGGGUUUAUAAAAUAUG
Cebus imitator (Panamanian white-faced capuchin) is the source of this 108-nucleotide small nuclear RNA. Lineage: Eukaryota; Metazoa; Chordata; Mammalia; Primates; Cebidae. The record is from RefSeq and is a predicted model, not a curated record.